Molecule: ribosomal RNA, 502 nt
Filed under: uncultured bacterium
Lineage: Bacteria
Description: bacterial SSU rRNA
Rfam family: Bacterial small subunit ribosomal RNA
Source: RNAcentral
AUUGAACGCUGGCGGCAUGCCUUACACAUGCAAGUCGAACGGCAGCACGGGAGCUUGCUCCUGGUGGCGAGUGGCGAACGGGUGAGUAAUACAUCGGAACGUACCCUGAAGUGGGGGAUAACGUAGCGAAAGUUACGCUAAUACCGCAUAUUCUGUGAGCAGGAAAGAGGGGGAUCGCAAGACCUCUUGCUUUAGGAGCGGCCGAUGUCGGAUUAGCUAGUUGGUGAGGUAAAGGCUCACCAAGGCGACGAUCCGUAGCGGGUCUGAGAGGAUGAUCCGCCACACUGGGACUGAGACACGGUCCAGACUCCUACGGGAGGCAGCAGUGGGGAAUUUUGGACAAUGGGCGCAAGCCUGAUCCAGCCAUGCCGCGUGAGUGAAGACGGCCUGCGGGUUGUAAAGCCCUUUAGGCGGGGAAGAACGGCCGGGCGCAAAUAGCGCGCGGCUCUGACGUUACCCGCAGAAUAAGCACCGGCUAACUCCGUGCCAGCAGCCGCGGUAA